AAAAUUAGCGGAUGACUUGUGGCUGGGGGUGAAAGGCCAAUCAAACCGGGAGAUAGCUGGUUCUCCCCGAAAGCUAUUUAGGUAGCGCCUCGUGAAUUCAUCUCCGGGGGUAGAGCACUGUUUCGGCAAGGGGGUCAUCCCGACUUACCAACCCGAUGCAAACUGCGAAUACCGGAGAAUGUUAUCACGGGAGACACACGGCGGGUGCUAACGUCCGUCGUGAAGAGGGAAACAACCCAGACCGCCAGCUAAGGUCCCAAAGUCAUGGUUAAGUGGGAAACGAUGUGGGAAGGCCCAGACAGCCAGGAUGUUGGCUUAGAAGCAGCCAUCAUUUAAAGAAAGCGUAAUAGCUCACUGGUCGAGUCGGCCUGCGCGGAAGAUGUAACGGGGCUAAACCAUGCACCGAAGCUGCGGCAGCGACACUAUGUGUUGUUGGGUAGGGGAGCGUUCUGUAAGCCUGUGAAGGUGGCCUGUGAGGGUUGCUGGAGGUAUCAGAAGUGCGAAUGCUGACAUAAGUAACGAUAAAGCGGGUGAAAAGCCCGCUCGCCGGAAGACCAAGGGUUCCUGUCCAACGUUAAUCGGGGCAGGGUGAGUCGACCCCUAAGGCGAGGCCGAAAGGCGUAGUCGAUGGGAAACAGGUUAAUAUUCCUGUACUUGGUGUUACUGCGAAGGGGGGACGGAGAAGGCUAUGUUGGCCGGGCGACGGUUGUCCCGGUUUAAGCGUGUAGGCUGGUUUUCCAGGCAAAUCCGGAAAACCAAGGCUGAGGCGUGAUGACGAGGCACUACGGUGCUGAAGCGACAAAUGCCCUGCUUCCAGGAAAAGCCUCUAAGCAUCAGGUAACAUCAAAUCGUACCCCAAACCGACACAGGUGGUCAGGUAGAGAAUACCAAGGCGCUUGAGAGAACUCGGGUGAAGGAACUAGGCAAAAUGGUGCCGUAACUUCGGGAGAAGGCACGCUGAUAUGUAGGUGAAGCGACUUGCUCGUGGAGCUGAAAUCAGUCGAAGAUACCAGCUGGCUGCAACUGUUUAUUAAAAACACAGCACUGUGCAAACACGAAAGUGGACGUAUACGGUGUGACGCCUGCCCGGUGCCGGAAG
Molecule: ribosomal RNA, 1099 nt
Filed under: Escherichia coli
Lineage: Bacteria; Pseudomonadati; Pseudomonadota; Gammaproteobacteria; Enterobacterales; Enterobacteriaceae
Description: partial 23S ribosomal RNA
Rfam family: Bacterial large subunit ribosomal RNA
Source: RNAcentral